GAAAGUUUGGGAAAAGUUUCCCCUCAGAUUCCUAUACAAUUUUUCCCCAUCCCCGCAUCUCUCACCUUAAAUCCAUGCCCUCUGGCCCUCGAUUCCCCUACUGUGGACAAGAGACUCUGUGCUUCUACUCGAUCUAUUCCCCUCAGAUUCAUAUUUAAUU
Amblyraja radiata (thorny skate) is the source of this 160-nucleotide long non-coding RNA. RefSeq lists it as uncharacterized. The record is from RefSeq and is a predicted model, not a curated record. The transcript is spliced from 3 exons. Lineage: Eukaryota; Metazoa; Chordata; Chondrichthyes; Rajiformes; Rajidae.